Long non-coding RNA from Anas platyrhynchos (mallard), 906 nucleotides. RefSeq lists it as uncharacterized. Lineage: Eukaryota; Metazoa; Chordata; Aves; Anseriformes; Anatidae. The record is from RefSeq and is a predicted model, not a curated record.
UAUGCCUAUAUGACUGUUUAUUUAGUUGUGAGUUGAUUGAUUAGGAAAUAAGUGCUUUUCAAGUUGACAGUAUAAAUAAUGAAACUUUAUUAGUGAUAUAUGUGACACAUUUAACAAUGCUAAUUUUCUGUACUGCUCUGUGUAAUUCACUUGCCUUUUUCAGUGGGCUGUAAACAAUAGGAGUUUUGAGGGAAAUCGCUAAUUUGUUGGCUUUUUAAAAGGCAACAGAAAGGAAUCCAAAAUUUACAAAUAUUUCCAGAGUGCCACCUAGUGGGAAAAGAAUUGAAGCCGCAAGAAAAUUGGACUCAAAUACAGCUUUGGCAGUCCUGAGGGUGUUCAAAGAAACCCAAAUUCUGCUCUCUGCAGAGCUGCUAGCUCUGCAAGGCCUGAGCCAGGUGUGAUGGGAGUCAAUGCUACAAACUCACCAAGUUUCUCUUGCCUAAAAGUGCCUGGGAGGAAAUAUUGUCAAUGUGGAACCUAAAUACAGUGUGUUUUGUCCAUGUGUCAUACAACACUGAUCUUGUCAAGUUGCUGAUCAAGGUGUGAAGGCUGACAGACUGUGGUCUUGAAGAAGCAGGAACUCAAAUUAUAUGCCCCUGAAAAAGAGAAAUUUGUAAUUCUCACUUUGUGACAAACAAUUCCUCGAAAAUCCUCUGGUGUUUGACUGAAAGUAUAUGAUGGUCUCUUCAUAGUAAGAAAACAUCCUAAAUCAUGUCUGGAGAUGUCUCCAAAUGAUUAGCUGUGGGUAUUUUUACUCAACUCAAGCCUAGUUUUAUUGCACUCAUGGGAAUAACUUAUACAAGCAGAACAACAUGUGUGCUCUUGAGUUAUCUUUUUCUUUUUUUUUUUGCUAAUAUCUUUAAAAUAUUUUUGUAACAUUUUAAAAUAUACAACCAGCACAAACUA